UGGGCCCAACACAAAAAGCAGCACCUAUAGAGGUCAUAUUGAGGUGUGAUUUCCAGGGAGCUCAUGCACCUACUACCCUGCAAAUAAAGCCUGUGGUCCUGGGUUAGAUUAUGCAAAGUUCUUGUGCCAGCUUUAAAGAUAAGCAAAUACCAGGUAGGUGACUCUGAAUGGAGAAGGUACAUCAAUAUUUCCCUUCAAUUGUGGGAAGAAUACGGAACCUGCUUAGAUGGAGAUAUUCAGGUUGAUCCGCACCAAACGUGAAGAAAAGGAAAGCUGCCCCCCACGUCUCCCGGCUCUGGGUAGCAGACAGAGCUGAUCAUCUGUAACAAGAUCCUAGAAUGUAAAUUCCUGAACCAAAGGUUUCCAGCUUCUUCCAUUCUAGCACUCUGACGGACAGAGUGUGUUCUCAUGAAAACCAUGGCUUUCCACAACAGGAGGCGUCUCCUGGAGUGAUCAGAGCCCCGUCCCCUGCAUCUGGCUGCGUCUCUGCAAUGCUUAACACCAUGCUGGGCUCAUCCAAGCCAUUCCAGUAAUGCUGUACGAAAGCACUUACUGUGUAGCUGAUACUGUGUUGUGUCGUGCGUUUUGCAACUGUAGGGCCAUACGAAAUCAAAUCAAGGGCCUGAAGUUCCCACCCGGGGCUAGAGA
Molecule: long non-coding RNA, 648 nt
Organism: Neofelis nebulosa (Clouded leopard)
Lineage: Eukaryota; Metazoa; Chordata; Mammalia; Carnivora; Felidae
Exons: 2
Source: RefSeq, a predicted model, not a curated record